UCCUGCUGUUCAGGAUCUGCUGUAUGUUUGUGCUGGGAGCUCAGCUGUGCUUUAGACCUGUGUGCUUUCUUUUUAUAUCAUAGCAACACUAAAAUGAUCUUCUCUCUUAUUCUUCUACUUAUUUGUGUCGCAGCAUCACAAGAUGCUUCAGUAAAUAUAUCAGAGACACAGCAGCCCAACGGGUUAACAGUCCAGCCCACUGGCACCACAGACCCUGGAGAUACUUCUGAGUCACAGACUACAACACAACUAAUCAUAAUUCAACAAAUGGAUGACACAAACAACACUGAGACAACCACUUCACAAUCUACCUGGCUGCCCCAGACAUCUGAACUGACAACGUCCAAACUGAAAAUCUCUGUCGACUCUAGUGAAACAUUUCCAGCAGAAGAAAACAGCAAAGCCUAUAACACGGAUCUUGGAGACAGAGGAGGACAAGAUGUGACAACAAAUCCUGGGCUGGUGGCAGUGCUGUGUAUUUUCUGCAUUGUGGUGGCUGUAGUUGUUGUGGUUGUGAUAGUGAAGGCUGUUCGCUCCAGGAGGCCACAGUUUGAGAGGCUUGAUGAUGUACCAAUGGGCAAGGUAAAUGAGGAUGCACCGUUUGCCCGCUACCCUCCAAAAUAAAUUCCAGUUUCUUAAACUUGCAGUCUCAGUAAACUACAUAGCUAUGCCUCUGAUAUUUAGCUUGUUUUUUUUGUUUUUUAAAUGAAAUGUGCCUUUUUAGCACAUAGACUUGAUGUGCAAUACCUAGUGUAUUAGUUAGAAAAUAUGGAAAUGUUGUGCUUAAUUUUUUUCCCACAAUAGCACAAACAGUGACAAAUCUAUAGUCAAAUGAGGAAUGUAAAUGCACAUAAGGAUAAAUGAACUGGUGGCCACCUAUGUCAUGAUUUGCAUGGUCAAUAUUUGUGAGAGACUAUGACAGCUGUGUAGCAUUUUCAGCUUGUCCUCCAGAUGGCGGCAAAAUUAUUCACAAGCAGUUUUACUGUAUCUAUAAUGUGGUCAUAAAGACCUG
This 1012-nucleotide long non-coding RNA is filed under the name Sinocyclocheilus grahami. RNAcentral describes it as "lncRNA (ENSSGRG00000011989.1)". Lineage: Eukaryota; Metazoa; Chordata; Actinopteri; Cypriniformes; Cyprinidae. The record is from RNAcentral.